RNAcentral lists this ribosomal RNA (414 nucleotides) under Pichia fermentans. RNAcentral's name for it is "partial large subunit ribosomal RNA". It matches the Rfam family "Eukaryotic large subunit ribosomal RNA", at positions 137 to 558 of the family's 3401-position model. The record is from RNAcentral. Lineage: Eukaryota; Fungi; Ascomycota; Pichiomycetes; Pichiales; Pichiaceae.
GGCGAGUUGUGAAUUGCAGGUUGGCGCCUCUGCGGCGGCGGCGGUCCAAGUCCCUUGGAACAGGGCGCCAUUGAGGGUGAGAGCCCCGUGGGACCGUUUGCCUAUGCUCUGAGGCCCUUCUGACGAGUCGAGUUGUUUGGGAAUGCAGCUCUAAGCGGGUGGUAAAUUCCAUCUAAGGCUAAAUACUGGCGAGAGACCGAUAGCGAACAAGUACUGUGAAGGAAAGAUGAAAAGCACUUUGAAAAGAGAGUGAAACAGCACGUGAAAUUGUUGAAAGGGAAGGGUAUUGCGCCCGACAUGGAGCGUGCGCACCGCUGCCCCUCGUGGGCGGCGCUCUGGGCGUGCUCUGGGCCAGCAUCGGUUUUUGCCGCGGGAGAAGGGCGGCGGGCAUGUAGCUCUUCGGAGUGUUAUAGC